Molecule: long non-coding RNA, 2095 nt
Organism: Rhododendron vialii
Lineage: Eukaryota; Viridiplantae; Streptophyta; Magnoliopsida; Ericales; Ericaceae
Exons: 5
Source: RefSeq, a predicted model, not a curated record
UUAGAGUAUUUCCAGUCCUUAUAGUUUUACUCCAAUUUGAGUACAAACUUCAUUUGCUAUGAAGCACUCCGAUGGACAAACUCAAAUCUUGGCACAAACAUGAGCCAAAAGAUACAUUAAUGACAUGGUUGGUCUCUGUUCUAUAGCCGUGGGUUCGAUAUGGUCUUGGUUUUAGUAUUCAACAACAAUAGUUCUAGUCAAGAUUUGGUUGUAUACAUAAGAAUAUACUUUGAGAGCUUAGUCACGAUGAACUUGAAAUAUCAAUUCAGUUCGAGUGACUUCAUGAACUGAUGAAACGAUUGUAGUUAUACACAAUUAAUAACUAGACUUCUAUGUCUUUGUUGGAUUUGAACAUCGGGUCCAUAUGUUUGAAAUCUACAUCUAUCUAGAUGGAGCCUUUGGGUUUUUUUUCUAGAUUUUCAGUUUAUUGUUUUUUUUUUAUGUAGGUGCUUGGAUUGGAGAGGUGAAAAGGGUUACAAAAGAGACCAAUGUAGCAAUGAGAAUAAACUUGGAUGGUUCGGGCAUAGCUGAUAGCAGCACUGGGAUCCCUUUUCUUGACCACAUGUUUGAUCUGUAUUCAAAGGUUUGGUCUAAAAUGUCUCCAACCCAGUCGUGUCCCAGUUGCCGAGGAUUUAGAUUGUGAUUAAUAUGGGAACUUCAAUUGGAAAAGUUGGCUUUCUUGGAGGGGCAAGCCAAAAGCUCGUUUGACACACAUUGAAACCUUAAGGAGAUGGUAUCUGAUAUUGCUAUGAAAUGGUAAAAACUGUCAAGAACUGGCGCUAUCGAGACGAAGUAUAUGGGUUUUGAAGCACAAUUAUGUUCACUAUGGAGAAAGACCAAGACUCUCUGGAGGUAUGUUUUAUGUCACCAAAUCUGAAUUCUUCUAUCUUUUUUAAGCUAAUAAGCAAAUCCGAGUUCUUAUCCUUGACUCGAAGAUAUAUGAAUGUCCCACUGAGAAGUUGCACCUAUUUUUCAAUUUUAGAGGACGAUGAAUUGGCGUGCGAAAUUGGAUACUCACAGGUUGCAGUAUGGUUCUUAUGCCAAUUCCAUUAUUUUUAUUAAGCGACGGAUAUUACCGAUCAUUAUCAGCCAUAUAUGCUUUUCAUCCGUUUGUCUUCUAUUUAAGCUAGAAAUGCUUUUUAGAAAUGUCAUGAACAAAUAUUUCUCCUGAAUUUUCAUAAGCUCAAAAGACCGUGUUUUAAUUCCUAGGCAAGAAUCAUCGGGCAUAUAACUACAAAUAUAGUAGCCAAUUCCAUGGUUUAGUAGUCGAUUUGUUUGCUUAAUUAUAGGUGUGAAUCUGUGUAUCUAAGUAUUGUUGGCUUGGGUGUGUUCUGGUUGGAGUAAGAUUACAAGCCUCCUUCAAGUUUGAGCAGUCAUCGUUGCCGAUGGAGGAGGGAACGGAGCUACUGCUGUGACUGUACCAAAAGUGGCUCAGAAAAAAGUGACUGUGAAACUAGAUCCCAAAAUUGUGAUUGAGAUAAGCCCUGAUACAUUAGAAGAGAUCAAGAUCAAGAUCAAGAUCAAGAAUGAUAAAAAAAGCUAGUGAUGGGUCGUCGAGAAAGAAGUCACAUACAACCCUCACUUCAAUCCUCACUACCAGAAGCAAGGUGGCCUAUGUUUUCUUCUGUAUGAAAACAUCAUUGAAGUGACUGAGGACUUUAGUGCCAAACGCUGUGUUAGUGAAGGAGGAUAUGGUUCUGUUUAUAGAGCUUCUUUGCCCAAUGGUCAAGUAGUUAUUGUGAAGAAACUUCAUACAUCAUUCGAUGGUGAAUUGGUUGAUCCCAAAAGCUUCACGAGUGAGAUCAAUGCAUUAACCAAAAUACGACAUCGCAACAUCGUAAAGCUUUAUGGGUAUUGCUCACAUCUGAGGCACUCGUUUUUGGUUUAUGAAUUUUUGCAAGAGGAAGCUUGGAAAAUAUACUGUGCUCAGAGGAACAAGCAUUAGAGUUUGAUUGGAUUAAGCGAGUGAAUGUUGUUAAAGUGGUGGCAGAUGCUUUCUCUUAUAUGCACCAUGGUUGUUCGCCUCCAAUCAUCCAUCGGGACAUAUCAAACAAGAAUGUCUUGUUUGAUUCAGAGACGUGGCUCAUGUCUCUGA